Molecule: small nuclear RNA, 107 nt
Organism: Marmota marmota marmota (Alpine marmot)
Lineage: Eukaryota; Metazoa; Chordata; Mammalia; Rodentia; Sciuridae
Source: Ensembl
UUGCUUGCUUCGGUGGCACAUAUACUAAAUUUGGAACAAUACAGAGAAGAUUAGCAUGGCCCCUGCAUAAGGAUGAUAUGCAAAUUCAUGAAACAUUCCAUGUUUUA